GACGAACGCUGGCGGCGUGCUUAACACAUGCAAGUCGAACGGAAAGGCCUGUCCUUCCUUGUGUUGGACGGGUACUCGAGUGGCGAACGGGUGAGUAACACGUGAGUGAUCUGCCCCCAACUUGGGUAUAAGCCUGGGAAACUGGGUCUAAUUCCCGAUAGGACUGCAGGGUGGUGCCUGUGGUGGAAAACGAUUUUCGAGUGGUUGGGGAUGAGCUCGCGGCCUAUCAGCUUGUUGGUGGGGUAAUGGCCUACCAAGGCGGCGACGGGUAGCCGGCCUGAGAGGGGGGACGGCCACAUUGGGACUGGGAUACGGCCCAGACGCCUACGGGAGGCAGCAGUGGGGAAUAUUGCACAAUGGGCGGAAGCCUGAUGCAGCGACGCCGCGUGGGGGAUGACGGCCUUCGGGUUGUAAACUCCUUUCGACCGCGAGGAAGCCGCCUGGUUGGAAGGGUGGUGACGGUAGUGGUAGAAGAAGCACCGGCUAACUACGUG
This 494-nucleotide ribosomal RNA is filed under the name uncultured bacterium. Its description in RNAcentral is "partial 16S ribosomal RNA". It matches the Rfam family "Bacterial small subunit ribosomal RNA", at positions 28 to 507 of the family's 1533-position model. The record is from RNAcentral.